This 439-nucleotide ribosomal RNA is filed under the name uncultured bacterium. RNAcentral describes it as "partial 16S ribosomal RNA". It matches the Rfam family "Bacterial small subunit ribosomal RNA", at positions 338 to 795 of the family's 1533-position model. The record is from RNAcentral.
CCUACGGGAGGCAGCAGUGGGGAAUAUUGCACAAUGGGGGAAACCCUGAUGCAGCGACGCCGCGUGAGUGAAGAAGUAUUUCGGUACGUAAAGCUCUAUCAGCAGGGAAGAAAAUGACGGUAUCUGACUAAGAAACCCCGGCAAACUAGGUGCCAGCAGCCGCGGUAAUAGGUAGGGGUCAAGCGUUAUCCGGAUUUACUGGGGGUAAAGGGAGCGUAGACGGCAGCGCAAGUCUGGAGUGAAAUCCCAUGGCUUAACCAUGGAACUGCUUUGGAAACUGUGCAGCUAGAGUGCAGGAGGGGUAAGCGGAAUUCGUGGUGUAGCGGUGAAAUGGGUGGAUAUUAGGAGGAAAACCAGGGGCGAAGGCGGCUUACUGGACUGUAACUGACGUUGAGGCUCGAAAGCGUGGGGAGCAAACAGGAUUAGAUACCUGGUAGUC